CUAAAGGGUUUCCAGAGAUCUUGUGGUAGAUUGAAGCUUCAAUGGUAAUUCAAAGAUUUGAAGCAUUUUUGAGGUGAAGAUUUAGAAAAAUACUACCUCCGUUUCAGAAUUUUCUCAUGAUUUUGUGCUCAAAUUCAUCAGAUUCGUUCAAUUCAUUACACGAAUUCCCCCAAAAAAAUGUAACUCGGUUGAAUGUUGAACUGCUCAAUGGUGAAAUUCUUGAAGGAGCUGUGGUUCGGUUGACUGAUUGUAUUUGUAUUUCUGUUCAGAAUCCAAAGAUUGUUGGCAUAUCGAACAUAGAGAUUGUUACCUCAGAGUGUGAGAUAAUUGCUAACCCGGAUGUUCGGAGUCUCAUUUAACAUCUCAAAGUGCUCCUUCUGGUAAUAAUGGUAGCUAUGCGUCCAGGAUUCUGUGUAAUAUGUCAGCUCCAACUGGUAGUAGUAAUAAAACGGUGAGUUUUCGUCCGACUGUGCAACCUGCAUACCAACCUCCAGCACCAAAUUACAAGAAUGAAUAGAACAGGGCGUUAUCUCCCUUUCACUAGAGUUUUAGUUGUACAAUAGCAUGACUAAGGAAAGGAGAUCUUCAUACCUAAAGAGCCAGGCAAAGUUGGGAUAUAUAUUGGUGGUGGUGUUCCAGCUUAUGAUCUUAGCCGCAUCCGCAAUGCUCGUGCAUAUGUUGCUGUUGAUGUCCUCAUAGAUUAUACAAAAUGAUUAUGCUUAUGCUGCUGAUGGAGAUGUCUACUUUUCGGUUGACAAAUUCUCUGCGUACGGCCUGCUAUCUAGGCGAAAACUAAAAUGACUUUGCAUUAUUGUAGACUGCAAAGCCGGGAGAUAUUAGCUGGGGAAGUUCUUGGGGACCUGGCAGACCUGGGUGGCACAUAGAGUGCAGUGCCAUGAGGGACCGUUAUCUGACUUCCUCCUUUGAUAUUCAUGGUGGGCGAAUGGAUCUAAUAUUCCCCUAUCAGGAAAAUGAGCUUGCUCAAAGUUGCGCUGCCCGCCUGAACAUUUGUGAAAUUACAUAUUGGAUGCAUAAUGGUUUUGUCAAUACCAACAACAAGAACAUGUCCAAGUCCCUUGGAAACU
Papaver somniferum (opium poppy) is the source of this 1085-nucleotide long non-coding RNA. RefSeq lists it as uncharacterized. The record is from RefSeq and is a predicted model, not a curated record. NCBI's taxonomy places the organism in Eukaryota, Viridiplantae, Streptophyta, Magnoliopsida, Ranunculales, Papaveraceae. The transcript has 4 exons.